GCUGGGAUAGCUCAGUAGGUAGAGGGUGAGAUUCUUAAUUCAGGGUUAUGGGUUUGAGCCCCAUGCCAGGCA
Molecule: non-coding RNA, 72 nt
Organism: Podarcis lilfordi (Lilford's wall lizard)
Lineage: Eukaryota; Metazoa; Chordata; Lepidosauria; Squamata; Lacertidae
Source: the annotation of a GenBank genome assembly